Molecule: ribosomal RNA, 707 nt
Filed under: uncultured Herbaspirillum sp.
Lineage: Bacteria; Pseudomonadati; Pseudomonadota; Betaproteobacteria; Burkholderiales; Oxalobacteraceae
Description: bacterial SSU rRNA
Rfam family: Bacterial small subunit ribosomal RNA
Source: RNAcentral
AUUGAACGCUGGCGGCAUGCCUUACACAUGCAAGUCGAACGGCAGCACGGGAGCUUGCUCCUGGUGGCGAGUGGCGAACGGGUGAGUAAUAUAUCGGAACGUGCCCUAGAGUGGGGGAUAACUAGUCGAAAGAUUAGCUAAUACCGCAUACGAUCUACGGAUGAAAGUGGGGGAUCGCAAGACCUCAUGCUCGUGGAGCGGCCGAUAUCUGAUUAGCUAGUUGAUGAGGUAAAGGCUCACCAAGGCAUCGAUCAGUAGCUGGUCUGAGAGGACGACCAGCCACACUGGGACUGAGACACGGCCCAGACUCCUACGGGAGGCAGCAGUGGGGAAUUUUGGACAAUGGGGGCAACCCUGAUCCAGCAAUGCCGCGUGAGUGAAGAAGGCCUUCGGGUUGUAAAGCUCUUUUGUCAGGGAAGAAACGGUGAGGGCUAAUAUCCUUUGCUAAUGACGGUACCUGAAGAAUAAGCACCGGCUAACUACGUGCCAGCAGCCGCGGUAAUAUGUAGGGUGCAAGCGUUAAUCGGAAUUACUGGGCGUAAAGCGUGCGCAGGCGGUUAUGCAAGACAGAUGUGAAAUCCCCGGGCUCAACCUGGGAAUUGCAUUUGUGACUGUAUGGCUAGAGUGUGUCAGAGGGGGGUAGAAUUCCACGUGUAGCAGUGAAAUGCGUAGAUAUGUGGAGGAAUACCGAUGGCGAAGGCAGCCCC